Platichthys flesus (European flounder) is the source of this 605-nucleotide long non-coding RNA. RefSeq lists it as uncharacterized. NCBI's taxonomy places the organism in Eukaryota, Metazoa, Chordata, Actinopteri, Pleuronectiformes, Pleuronectidae. The transcript is spliced from 2 exons. The record is from RefSeq and is a predicted model, not a curated record.
GGGAGGUUGAGAGUGCAUGUCCUUAUAUGUACUCCAUUACCACUGGAAUCAUAAACAGCUCCUUCACCACACUCUGCCAAACUACUGUCCUCAGAAGACUUUGGGAAAACACUACACGGUGGCCCCUCGCUCACCCACUCCUCUCAACUCCACAGCAGGCCUGGAGUCACAGCACACAAGACCGCUGGGGGCUCUCGUGCCCCUGUGGGGACCGAUGUGGUUCAGUCUCUCCGGCUCACAGAUGAGAGGGGGAUUCCAGCGGCGGUCACAUGCUUCUCUGCAGGGCUACAGAGGAGGCCGGCCAUUUCAUGGAUGACAAGCCAUACAUGGUGUCCUUUAUGUGGAUGCAUGUGCACAGUUCUGGUGGCAUUGUGCGGUUCUUCUGUUAAAGGCAACCUGUACGGGACACUUGCCUUUUCAUUCGUUUGGUUUCACAUGUGCUGGAGUUAAUGUGUGUGUGUGACAGAGAGAGAAUAAUGAGUUUGCUCUUGGUCCUCAGGGCUCGAAGCGGCUUUGCGUGUUCAAUAGGCAUAAAUUGAGUGAUUCAAUAUUGCAGUUGUACUAAAAUAUUUAUGAGAUGUGUUAAUAAAUUAUCUUUAAUAGAC